RNAcentral lists this ribosomal RNA (253 nucleotides) under uncultured bacterium. RNAcentral describes it as "partial 16S ribosomal RNA". It matches the Rfam family "Bacterial small subunit ribosomal RNA", at positions 524 to 776 of the family's 1533-position model. The record is from RNAcentral.
UACAGAGGUCUCGAGCGUUGUUCGGAUUCAUUGGGCGUAAAGGGUGCGUAGGUGGCGAGGUAAGUCGGAUGUGAAAUCCCGGGGCUCAACCCCGGAACUGCAUUCGAUACUGCCCUGCUAGAGUACUGGAGAGGAGAUUGGAAUUUACGGUGUAGCAGUGAAAUGCGUAGAUAUCGUAAGGAAGACCAGUGGCGAAGGCGGAUCUCUGGACAGUUCCUGACGCUGAGGCACGAAGGUCAGGGGAGCAAACGGG